Carassius auratus (goldfish) is the source of this 4163-nucleotide long non-coding RNA. RefSeq lists it as uncharacterized. Lineage: Eukaryota; Metazoa; Chordata; Actinopteri; Cypriniformes; Cyprinidae. The transcript is spliced from 2 exons. The record is from RefSeq and is a predicted model, not a curated record.
AAGCAUCUAAGCUUUAUUGACGUGUGGGACCCAAGAGGUAGUGGACGGCCUGACUAUGAUUUCAUAAACAUAGUAGAGAGGAGAAGUGCCUUUGGCAAACAGAUAUUACAGCAUACCUGGCCAAGCCACUUCAUUUCCUCAAAUAAACCCUCACUCAUUCACUCAACGACAUCUUCAAAACAACAACAGCAAUGCUUUGGAAGAAAAACACUCGGAAUGACGACAUGAACUUUUUGUCUUUCCAAAAAAGACAAAGGAAAGUACUGUUCAAAGUUUCCUUGAUGAUUGAAAAGGCUCAGUCCGUGUUUUCAUCACUUUCCGCAGGCAAAAGUGAUGUCAUGGGGCCCACUUCAAUGGGAAAACAGUCACAGCGUUUCUCAAAAGUGUGUGCAUCUAUAACAAAUAGUUGUUUAGACACACUGCGUAUGUGUCUAAUGCCCACACAAAACUUUGUUUAAUAAAAAAAACAACAACAUACAAUACAGAUAUAAAUUUGAACUUUAUUGUUACUUAUAUAAAUCCCCGUUUCUGUUUUAACCACAACCCCCUGGCUUUAGGCCAAAGUCUAAACUAGGAGUGUGUUGCUCUGCUGCAGCUGCUGUCAUGUUUACAGGAGAAAGAACCUGAUAUAAGCUACCCGUAUCUGUCAGAGGUAACGGGGAAAGGUUAGUAGCCUGAGGAAGUGCAGAACGUGGGACCCCUGAUUCACAAUCCCCAAAAUGGAGCACUUCGAUAUGACAACAAAGAAACAUAGCAACAGUGCUCAUUUACAGACAAGUGGGGACAGGUUUCCAAAGAUCAGCAGUCAUCAUAAUAUAAGAGGGGGUUUCAGUGUCACCAUAUCAAAAUAGAAUACAAGCCAUCCGCAUAUGUAGGACUUACAAAAGACGUUUGGAAUGUAAAUAAAAGACCUAAUGUUUUAGAUCUUCUUCCUGCAUCAGUUGCUAAGAGCACUGACACAAAAGAGAAUAACUUUGAAUAAAGCAAGUUACCAAAACAAAUAUACUGUCCAAAGCAAUGUUUAUUCUAUAUGUACAUGUUAGUACAUAUAUAAAUUAGAAGACAUUUCAGAAUUUAGAAUAUUACCAAUUUAGAAUAUUACUUUACUUCACAAAGGUCAGGCGAAAGGUCUCAUGAAAUUCCUUUUAACUGGAUUCAGUGGCCUUUUAACAGCAUUCGGCAAUGUAUCAAUAAAUAUGAAUAUGUCUGGCUGCAUCCAGAAAGAUCAAGAACACAUCCCUUGGAAUGUUUUAUAUCAGAAAAAGCAUCCCCUCUGAGGAGAAAUAUUAUUCAUGCUACACUCCAAGAUUGGAGCAUAGCUCUGUGGACAUAAGGUCCUCAGAGACUUCGGUUGAAAUAGCUGUUCAGAUCUCUUUUAGUGCAAACUGCAGUUGCUCAGGCUCUAGCGACUGUGCAUGGAAGGAUCCUGAUGAAAAAAAAAUAUAUAUAUAUUUAAUUAACUGUAUUUUAGAGACUGUUUUUUAUACAGUAAGAAUUCUAUGUAGAUUUAGACUUAAAUGCAGCAAACUGGUGAUGUGUAUUUAAUGUACACAAGUAGGAACAAAUCUUGUUUUUUUUUUUACUCGUAUUGUGACAUACAGAUUAAAGAAGGAAAAUUAAACUGGGUUCUAUCCAUCGAUUAUUGAUUGGAGAGAGAUUUCAAUUUGAGCUUGCAGUCAGUUAUAAAAAAGGGAUGGCAUUAAAUGAAGUCCUGUAUAUAUCACUAAAGUCUCUAAUUUUCUCUGGAAGGUUGAGUUAUAGCAUCUUGAUAAAAAAUUACAAUACUAUGCAUUUAAAAAUAGAGAGGAAUUGUCUUUAAAGUACUAGUAAUGUUUGAGCAUAAAUACAUAUCCAUUAGUACCUAUAACAGCCAACUACAGCAUAGUGAUCAUGCAUUAUAUUUGAGUCGCCUUCUUUAGGGUCCUGUGGGCGUGUCUCAACUGACAUCUCCAUUCCACCAAUCAGCGGCAGCGCUUCUGCCACCUCUACACUCAGCUCACCAAACGUGUUCUUCUUAUAGGCUAGAGUCUCUCUUUGGAUCUCAGCACAACACUGAAACACAAAACAGAGUAUAACCCCAACUAUAUAUCAUCAUGUAACGUAUCAGCCUAGUUGAUCAAGAGGGAUUUUUACAUAAAUUAUCAAUCCCUAAACUUUAAUAUAUGGUCAAUUAAGCUAUUUUGAAUUAUUAUUACAAUUUAAAAUAACUUUUCUAUUUAAAUAUAUUGUAGAAUUUAAUUACAGGGAAUUUUCAGCAGCCAUUACUCCCGUCUUCAGUGUUACUGUCAUGAUCCAUCAGAAAUCAUUUUGAUAUGCUGAUUGAUGCUCAAGUAUCUAUUCUUAUUAUAAUCAAUGUUGAAAACAGUUUAGCAGUUUACUUUUGUAGAAACGUGAUACUUUUGAUCAAUUUAAUGCAUCCUUGCUGAGAAAAAAAUGUAUGAGCCCAAACUUUAACUGUAUUUCAAAUAUUAAGAUCUGCAUCUUUUCUAUAAUAUACAUUAUAUCCAUAUCUAAAUUUGAAGCUGACCGCCUGUUGUCCCGUGAGUAGAAGAAAUGACUGAAGUCAUCAUGAGCAGAUAGGGUGAGUGUGUCCUGUGGGCCUAGUGCACUUCUAUAUGCACUUAUACUCUCCACAAAAAAGUGUGUUGCUGAAUCUAUUGAAAUGGAAAAAGAGAUCAACAUAAUCACAUUUUUUGUUCCCUUUUUACACUAUAUUAGUCCUCCACUACCCCGUGAAGAGCUUCUCCAACACAUCAUCAUAUUUUUCAUUUGAUUAGCUGAGGGUCACCUUUAAGACUUGACUGCUACUUGUUAUGCAGGUCAGCUAACACAAAGCUCUCCUUGUGUAUAGUCUGCUAAACACAAUUCACACCAAUGACAAACUCUAAAUGUUGGAUCAGAUGCAAGGCAUCUAAAUGACAGAAUGCCUUCUGCUCAUAAUACAAUUUUUAUUAUUCUUAUAUUGACUUCAUAACACAUCUCAUUAUUUCUGUGUGAUGCUCUGGGCCUAAUUAAAUCCCCCGUAAGGACAGACUAUUGUGAAUGCAGUCGCUCACUGUUGAUGAGGCUCUGAAGUGGAAGAGUAGGCCAGAGCCAAGCUGUGAGCGAUCUGGGCCCCCUCCAGACCCCCAGGACUCUGACUAAGAGCUAUGGAAUGAGCCUGCAGAAGAGGGAGUGAGAGAUACAGAGACUUGAAUAGAGAUGUAUCACAUAUCACACCCUCCCUGAAACAUGGGAAAUAUCAAGAGUUCUCGACUUUAAAUAACUCUGCAGUCCAGGUUUAAAAAACCAUUAGACUGAGGAUGUCAAAAACACAACCACUGGGCAACUAUGGCUUGCGGAGGAAUACAGUGUCAUGUCAUGGGAUGGUUUAUAGAAAGACUAGAAGCUGUUAAAGCCACAAAAAGGGAAACCGACUCCAUAAUAAUGUCUCCAUAUGAUCAGUACAGUGUAGUUCUCUGAAGGACUGGACAAGAAUAAUCCCUGUGAUGUUUACCUGUAGGAGAUGCUCAAUGGCUCUAUCCAGAUGUCCCUGUGCCUGUUCAAUAGCCGCCAUGUUUCAGCAAACACAGCAGAUCUGACUGAGAUGAGCUUCUUCCUGAAGCAGCUCCAAGGCGCUUUCACAUUGACUGAGGGUCUUCUCAGGCCUUCCCUGCCUCUGGUACACCCUAUAGAACACAGCACGGACACAAAGAUGUCAUUUAUCAUGAAAUCUAUCCACAAUGUCACAAACAGCACACUGUUGACCUCGCUUAUGCAUGCCAUCAUAUUAAGAAUGGCUUAUUUGUAAUGCCAGGCAUGAGCAAAAUAUCCCAGAACAAUGAAAGGAAGGAGGUCAAGAAAAGCCUGUUCAUGCGAACUGGUUAAAAACAGGAAGAACUGCUGCUGUGUACUGCAUAGGAUGGUGGCACCGGCUCUGAACCUUCAAGGAGCUUUCCUUUCUUUUAUUAAGAUGUGGAGUGCAGCAAAUCAUGCCCUGCAGAUCUGAACUCAAUACACAAGAGCUCAUGUCUUUAUUAGGUCUGAUUCUCCUCUCUCACUAUCAGCCUUUAGGCAUCUAGUCUCACUCCUGAAUAUUGCAGAGACUCACUGUGGUCUGCUAUCUGUGAAGAAAUGAAGUACGGAAGAGUCAGUGCUGUUCUAUAAUAAAGUAUUUAGUUCAA